Molecule: long non-coding RNA, 851 nt
Filed under: Nicotiana benthamiana
Lineage: Eukaryota; Viridiplantae; Streptophyta; Magnoliopsida; Solanales; Solanaceae
Description: long non-coding RNA (NBEN_LNC034959)
Source: RNAcentral
ACCAUACUAUUACACCUGUCCCAUAAUCUCUGUUGAGCCACAUUAGUGGCUGGUCGAGGACAGGUUCCAUCUAUGAAACCAAUUUUAUUUUUAGCAGUCAAAGCAACAAUUAUUUUUCUUCUCCAUCCCCCAAAACCAUCACCCGAGAAGGGUGUGGGGACAAGAGAUACCCCGGGAACAUCGGAGGAGUAUUGAAAUAAAGGACUUGAAGAGUCCAAAAUACCAGUAUUGGUGUUAGCAGCCAUGAUAUAUCAACAAGGAAAAACAGAUUUAGCAACCAAAAUGUAACAGAUCAAAUAGCCACACACAAAGCCAAAAUCGAUAUACACAAACCAGGUGCACAAACCAGGUAAUAUUGAAUUUUAAAACAAAGUUACCCUCCUUCUUCGCUACCGGAAGAAUAGGUAAUAUUGGAUUUUAAAACAAAGUUACCCUCCUUCUUCGCUACCGGAAGAUGAUCGGCCUUCAAAUGGUAGUGAAAACCCUAGGUUCAGACGUCGAUUCAGUCACCGGAAAUAUGAGAAACGAUGUCGGAAAGUUACCCAAAACAUCCACGAGAUGAGAAUCGGACCACCGGAAGACGGUAAAUCAGCAAGUCAAAACCACCAAAAACCCUAGAUACCGAUAACUCACCAGAAAUCACCCAAAACCAAUCAAAACGUUGUUAAAACGUUGAGGUUAAGAAGAUUCACCCAGAUAUUAUGGUGUAAAACACUUUGAACCAUGUCCGAUCAAAAACGGAAUCAUCACUGACCAUUCGAUCUCAGGAAAAUCCUCAAAAAUCGUCAAACAAAUGUUCAAAAGUGAUACCGAUAUGCAAAUAAACAUGAUCGGAUCGUUGUAAGGCUCUG